GAAACGCAGAGAGCAAGAGAGUCCGAAAGAGGCAAAAAAACCAUGGGAAGAAACGGUGGAAAAAGAGGAGAAGAAAUGAAGAAAUAGGGGGAAAAGGAAGAACUAGCAGAUUUUCGAGCUGGGUUCUCCAUUUCUUUAAUUUUAUUGUGAUUUAGUGAGGUAAGUAUAAAAAUGUGAAAUUAUCUCCUUUAGAGUUUAUGAAAUUUAUCUUUAAAACUUUGAAGUUAGCAAGAAUUUGGUGUUAUUGAUGUGUAUUCAACGUUUUAAAUAAGAAUAUAGCAAGGAAUGUUUAUUUGAAUAUUAAGGUUGAAGAAAGUGGAACUUUGUAAGUGGGUUUGUGAGAUAAAAAGCAUAUUCUUUGAAAUUCUUGGAAUUAUAUUGUUCUAAAAACAUAAAUUGAGGAUUUGAGAUUGAAAUUGUCCAUAUUUUCAGCAAUUUUUGACUUUUUGUAAAACAGGUGCUAGUUUUGAAAUUCUGCCCAGGAUAGUGCUAUUUCUGUCAAAGGUUUCGGUGACUGUUUUUAAUAUCGGUGGUGCUAGUGGUACACAGGUGUGUACCUAAGCGUGUACACCCCCCUCACAUGGAGUGUGGGAUCCACCCGAAUAAAAAAUAUUUAUUCGAGUGGACCCCACACCCCAUGUGAGGGGGAUGUACACCCUUAGGUACAUUCUAUUAUGUACCACUAGCAUUUUUCUUUUAAUAUAUAGAAUCUGGUGUUGCAAUUCAGUAUUCUGGGAUUUUAGCGCGGUUUUUCUCAAAACUCUUAUUUUAAGAUUUUAAUUGUUUGAAUGAGGUUAUAUGAUAAAUAGUGAAGUUUAGAUUGUGUAUAGGGGUUGUGUAUAUAUAAGGUAGUGAUUUUAAGAAAGUAUAGCAAUUAAAUGAUUUAAUUAUGUGUAGUGAUUGAUUAGUAAACAAUCAAAGAGAAGAAAAGUUGGGGAAACGGAUAUGUAAGAAUAAAUAUAGAAAUUGAGAAGUUAAGAGGUGGAUUUGUAUUAAUUUAAUCGUCAGACUUUAAUUCGAGAAAUUAUGCCGUUGUUUCAGGUAGGGACGUGAAAGUUUGGAAAUGCUCGUCAAUUUAAUCAUAUUUCUAUCCAUAGAUCAGUGAGUGGAAAAAACUUAAAUAUUUUCAAGUAUUAAUAAAUUAAUUAUACCAAUACAUUAUGUACAUUUAUACGUUCGAUUACAUGAUUAUUUUGGAAAUAUUCUUUCAUUAUGAUAUUUGUCGAAUUCAAAGGCUAGAUAUGAAAAUAUUUGCGAUUUGGAAUGUGAGAUAUGUGAUAUUGAGAUCGACAAGAAAAAUACUCGUGAUUAUAUAUUUCUUCUAGCUCACUGAGGCGCCUUGGUCGUAUUAUAUACUACAUUGAGGGGUCGACUGGGGAUGAAGGGAUCGUGACCGUAUACAUAUAGUUCGCUGAGGGGCUUUGGCCGUGUUCUAAAAUUGAUUGUCAAAGGUCUUGAGACCGGCUUUCGUUCACGGAGAGGACCAAAGGCUCGUGGCGAAAAUUCUUAACCCGAGGGACGAAUUACAAAUUUUAGUCAGAGGGUACAUUUUUUGUGGAUCACAUGUGAUGUGAUGAGAUGAGAUGAUGGUAUAGAUAUCAGCUGAUGAAAAUAUCGUGAUUAUGAGAUGAUAUUUACAUUGUUAUGAGAAUGUCUCACUUUUGGCUAUAAUUGUACGAGUUUAUCGUGUGAAUAUUAAAUGAUAUGAACUUGAUGUUUAGUAAAAAUGUUUAAAGGAGAAAGUAUAAUUAUUUUUGAACUCUUCCACUCA
RNAcentral lists this long non-coding RNA (1771 nucleotides) under Olea europaea subsp. europaea. Lineage: Eukaryota; Viridiplantae; Streptophyta; Magnoliopsida; Lamiales; Oleaceae. The record is from RNAcentral.